Molecule: ribosomal RNA, 485 nt
Filed under: Klebsiella pneumoniae
Lineage: Bacteria; Pseudomonadati; Pseudomonadota; Gammaproteobacteria; Enterobacterales; Enterobacteriaceae
Description: bacterial LSU rRNA
Rfam family: Bacterial large subunit ribosomal RNA
Source: RNAcentral
AAAGGUACUCCGGGGAUAACAGGCUGAUACCGCCCAAGAGUUCAUAUCGACGGCGGUGUUUGGCACCUCGAUGUCGGCUCAUCACAUCCUGGGGCUGAAGUAGGUCCCAAGGGUAUGGCUGUUCGCCAUUUAAAGUGGUACGCGAGCUGGGUUUAGAACGUCGUGAGACAGUUCGGUCCCUAUCUGCCGUGGGCGCUGGAGAAUUGAGGGGGGCUGCUCCUAGUACGAGAGGACCGGAGUGGACGCAUCACUGGUGUUCGGGUUGUCAUGCCAAUGGCACUGCCCGGUAGCUAAAUGCGGAAGAGAUAAGUGCUGAAAAGCAUCUAAGCACGAAACUUGCCCCGAGAUGAGUUCUCCCUGAGACUUUAAGUCUCCUGAAGGAACGUUAAAGACGAUGACGUUGAUAGGCCGGGUGUGUAAGCGCAGCGAUGCGUUGAGCUAACCGGUACUAAUGAACCGUGAGGCUUAACCUUACAACGCCGAAG